GAUGAACGCUGGCGGUGUGUAUAAUACAUGCAAGUCGAGCGAACGGACGAGAAGCUUGCUUCUCUGAUGUUAGCGGCGGACGGGUGAGUAACACGUGGAUAACCUACCUAUAAGACUGGGAUAACUUCGGGAAACCGGAGCUAAUACCGGAUAAUAUUUUGAACCGCAUGGUUCAAAAGUGAAAGACGGUCUUGCUGUCACUUAUAGAUGGAUCCGCGCUGCAUUAGCUAGUUGGUAAGGUAACGGCUUACCAAGGCAACGAUGCAUAGCCGACCUGAGAGGGUGAUCGGCCACACUGGAACUGAGACACGGUCCAGACUCCUACGGGAGGCAGCAGUAGGGAAUCUUCCGCAAUGGGCGAAAGCCUGACGGAGCAACGCCGCGUGAGUGAUGAAGGUCUUCGGAUCGUAAAACUCUGUUAUUAGGGAAGAACAUAUGUGUAAGUAACUGUGCACAUCUUGACGGUACCUAAUCAGAAAGCCACGGCUAACUACGUG
Molecule: ribosomal RNA, 497 nt
Filed under: uncultured bacterium
Lineage: Bacteria
Description: partial 16S ribosomal RNA
Rfam family: Bacterial small subunit ribosomal RNA
Source: RNAcentral